Molecule: long non-coding RNA, 1383 nt
Organism: Antechinus flavipes (yellow-footed antechinus)
Lineage: Eukaryota; Metazoa; Chordata; Mammalia; Dasyuromorphia; Dasyuridae
Exons: 2
Source: RefSeq, a predicted model, not a curated record
CACGGACUCCGGGACCGACAGUGCCUCCAGGGCCACUCCCUCGGGGUCCAGCUCCACAUUCUGCAGCAGACUAGGGUUCAGAAACUUUCGGAGCCGAUCAGGGCCAAUCAACGAGUGGCGUUUGGGGGCUCGAGCCAAUCAGGCUGGGCCGGAAGCGCACUUCUCGGCCGGGGCAGCAGUUGUUGCUUUCGAGUUGUCCCUGCUGAGACGAGCGGAGCAGAGAAGGAAGGGGGGAAGGAAGACAACGGGGUACCGCCACGGACUUCUCGGUCCUAGGAAAAGACGCGAGCACAGUACAGGCUUAGUUCCGCCCGUGGGAAACGAGAGUGCAAGGAAUGCCCCUAUGGUUGGGAAUUAGAUCUGGGUACGAGCGUGGACGAGGAAGAACCUCGGAUGUGAUUUUAGGAAUUCUAAACUGACUUUAGUGGGCAAGUCGCUUCAUCUCGGGAUCUGUUUCAUUGUCAAAUAAAGAGUUUGAACUAAAUCGGGGAGUUCUUAACUGGGGGUCCCGCAAACAAAACAUUAACUGUGGAUAUAAUUUAAUUUUUCAAAUGUUUUCAUUUAAAAGCAAUUUUAUGAGAAGUUUUCACAGGUUGCGUUCUCAUUUCUCCCCUGCCCCGCGUGGAAUACUCCCCAGUUCUGACCACGUACCUGCCCUGCUACCUUCAAAUCCCAACUAAAAUCCCACCUUCUACAGAAGGCUUUACCCAACCCCUCUUAAUUCUAGUGCCUUCUCUCUGCUAUAUAGCAUAACUAGAACGUUGCAUGGUGAGCAUCUGGGUGGUCAGAGACCUUUUAUUUGCCUUUUUUUUUUAAUCCCCUGAAUCUAGCACAGUGGAGCCUGAUGUUUAUUGAAUUGAAUAUUGUCAAAAUCUUUUCACAAAGUUAAGAACUUCUGGACUCGAGAAAAAUUUAAAGCAACACAACAAAAACUUUUAAGAGAAAUAACUUCGAAACUAAUGAAUGCAAUCAACUAACCAUGUCUCCAGAAGACCUGGAAAUAACUUUAAAGGUGUGAUAUUUGUUCAGACACAAGAUGGGAAAGGGAACAUACAUUUUAGAUAAUAGCCAUUGGAUGGAUUAAUUUUGAUUGUGUUAAACUCCACCUGCUGCCCCUUUUAUGUUUAUAACUGGGAGGAAGAAAGGGAGGUAAGGGGGAGUUAAUGAUUUUAAUAAUGUCUUAAAGGGCUCUUGUAAUAUUUUAAAUUCACAUAGUAGUUCACAUAGUAACAUGACAAGCAGAACUGCUUUGAAAGAAUUAUGUAUUUAAAGCAAGUAGUGUGAAGUAGAAUUCAAAGUUUCAUUUGCAGUCCUGUUGGGGGGAGCAUGUUUUUGAAAAUUCAUUUUGUUCUUGAAACUUAGCAAUAAAUUAUUAUAAAAGAA